Molecule: transfer RNA, 89 nt
Filed under: Cytophagales bacterium
Lineage: Bacteria; Pseudomonadati; Bacteroidota; Cytophagia; Cytophagales
Description: tRNA-Ser
Rfam family: tRNA
About the family: Transfer RNA (tRNA) molecules are approximately 80 nucleotides in length. Their secondary structure includes four short double-helical elements and three loops (D, anti-codon, and T loops). Further hydrogen bonds mediate the characteristic L-shaped molecular structure. tRNAs have two regions of fundamental functional importance: the anti-codon, which is responsible for specific mRNA codon recognition, and the 3' end, to which the tRNAs corresponding amino acid is attached (by aminoacyl-tRNA synthetases). tRNAs cope with the degeneracy of the genetic code in two manners: having more than one tRNA (with a specific anti-codon) for a particular amino acid; and 'wobble' base-pairing, i.e. permitting non-standard base-pairing at the 3rd anti-codon position.
Source: RNAcentral
AGAGAGUUGGCGGAGUGGUUGAUCGCGACAGUCUUGAAAACUGUUAUACUUUUUUCGAAGUAUCGUGGGUUCGAAUCCCUCACUCUCUG